AUGGAAAUUUUGGCAUGCAAACGGGGUCUUCAAGUGGCGCAAGAAAUCAACGCUGAUAAGGUCCAUGUUGAGCUUGACUCUCAAAGUGUCGUAAACAUGUUGAAUAAUCAACACAAGGAGAUGUCCAGUGCAGGGCCAUGGAUACAGGAAAUCAAAACGAUACUUGCAUCUUUUUCUGAUUUUAGAGUCUCUUGGGUUCGCUGUUCUGCUAAUGUUGCCGCGCAUAAAUUAGCUAGAGUUGGUGUGGGUGAUGAACUAUGUAAGGUUUGGUUGGGAACUACCCCAGAUUGUAUGCUUGAUGUAAUCUCGAUGAGAUUCCGAAUGCAUUUGAUUAAAUAA
This 339-nucleotide ribosomal RNA is filed under the name Triticum aestivum (bread wheat). Its description in RNAcentral is "partial small subunit ribosomal RNA". Lineage: Eukaryota; Viridiplantae; Streptophyta; Magnoliopsida; Poales; Poaceae. The record is from RNAcentral.